This is a non-coding RNA of Misgurnus anguillicaudatus (oriental weatherfish), 1318 nucleotides long. Lineage: Eukaryota; Metazoa; Chordata; Actinopteri; Cypriniformes; Cobitidae. The record is from RefSeq and is a predicted model, not a curated record.
GCCCAGUAGGGUGUGCAGUGAGUUCACAUCAUCAGAUCAGAGCAAGUUUUGGAUCGACACGAUAUAAGAUAAACAGUGUAAUGAUCCGCACCAAAUAUUAAAAUAUAUGUAGAGAUUCACUGUUGAGUCAUACACAGCCUACAAGAAGACAAUUGAACUUCAAUGGAAUUUAGUGUUUUAGUAAAAUGAACAAUUAAUAACACACAUGAAUCAACCUUAUAAGUUAUUGUGAUUAGACUGUACAUGGUUCCUGAUGAAUUGCUAAUUUCUACUCUUUUCUUUUCCCCCUUACUCCUGUUUUACAUAUUUUGUUGCUCUCUAGACACAUUUUGGUAAAUCAAUUUUAUUUUGCAAUCUUUUGUUUUGUAACACACCUUAUUAGUGUAUUACAUUUGUUUAAUGUUCUACUGCACAUUUAACUGUGGUGAUGUUUAUUUCUCUUCUGAAACAGGUUACUGCUUCAGCUAUCAGCCACAGUCCAGAUUGUGUUGCAGCCCAACAAAACCAGCACUUCCACAAGUCUUUUUAACGAACCCAAAGGCUCUUAUAAGAGCCACCCACACUAUAUCACAGCGGAUUGGACAUCUUUUUCAUCUUUAAAAGCUAUAAACGCUAAAACGCUUGAAACAAAAAGAAAACUUUUUGAAAGACUCACAAAAAGCUCUUUCUAAGAGCCUGGAAAAAAACGCUUUACAAAAAAACAACGCUUGCUUUGAGCAAAACGUGAACUCAUACCCCAAGAAAACGUCAACUUGUAUCACUGAAACCAAGCAAACAAGUUAAAAAACUGAACGUCAGCUACGGGAACAGUGAAAGAGCUUCAGAGAAUCCCCUCUUCAAGUUCACACUGCUGCCUUCAAGAAGGAUCCCUGCUUUAAGGACAACAUUACCAAAAGAAUAUUAGAGAAUAUCAUUUAUUUUAACCUACUGUUUAGCAUUACAUUUGUUCAAAUUCUGCAGUCUUGUUUAUUAUAUUACCUGAAUUGAUUCCAUAAUUGACACAUUAGUUACGUGUGGUUAGUUUCUGUCUGAUCACCUAUUUAACUACUGCAUAAUAGACAUUGUUUUGGGUGAUAUUUUAUAUACUACAUCAUCUUUGUAAAGUAUUACAAUAGUUGUUUAUAUUGUCUUGUUUAUAACACACACACACACAUAUUAAUUUCAUAAUUGACUGAAUAAUAUUAAUUGUUUUUAAGUUCUAUUUCAUAUAUCAGUAAAAUACUCUGGUUUAGAUAAUUUGUUCUUAGCAUUACGUUAGUUCACUUUCUGUAGUAUUGCUUAUUGCACAUAAUUUUACUAAUUAAAACAUUGUUUUAUA